GACGAACGCUGGCGGCAUGCCUAACACAAGCAAGUCGAGCGAGCUGAUUCCUUCGGGAUGAAGCUAGCGGCGGACGGGUGAGUAACACGUGGGCAACCUGCCUCAUAGAGGGGAAUAGCCUUCCGAAAGGGAGAUUAAUACCGCAUAAGAUUGCAUCUUCGCAUGCAGAAGCAAUUAAAGGAGUAAUCCGCUAUGAGAUGGGCCCGCGGCGCAUUAGCUAGUUGGUGAGGUAACGGCUCACCAAGGCGACGAUGCGUAGCCGACCUGAGAGGGUGAUCGGCCACAUUGGGACUGAGACACGGCCCAGACUCCUACGGGAGGCAGCAGUGGGGAAUAUUGCACAAUGGGGGAAACCCUGAUGCAGCAAUGCCGCGUGAGUGAUGACGGCCUUCGGGUUGUAAAGCUCUGUCUUCGGGGACGAUAAUGACGGUACCCGAGGAGGAAGCCACGGCUAACUACGUGCCAGCAGCCGCAGUAA
RNAcentral lists this ribosomal RNA (478 nucleotides) under uncultured bacterium. RNAcentral's name for it is "partial 16S ribosomal RNA". It matches the Rfam family "Bacterial small subunit ribosomal RNA", at positions 28 to 523 of the family's 1533-position model. The record is from RNAcentral.